This 497-nucleotide ribosomal RNA is filed under the name uncultured bacterium. Its description in RNAcentral is "partial 16S ribosomal RNA". It matches the Rfam family "Bacterial small subunit ribosomal RNA", at positions 28 to 507 of the family's 1533-position model. The record is from RNAcentral.
GAUGAACGCUGGCGGCGUGCCUAAUACAUGCAAGUCGAGCGAACAGACGAGGAGCUUGCUCCUCUGACGUUAGCGGCGGACGGGUGAGUAACACGUGGAUAACCUACCUAUAAGACUGGGAUAACUUCGGGAAACCGGUGCUAAUACCGGAUAAUAUAUUGAACCGCAUGGUUCAAUAGUGAAAGACGGUUUUGCUGUCACUUAUAGAUGGAUCCGCGCCGCAUUAGCUAGUUGGUAAGGUAACGGCUUACCAAGGCAACGAUGCGUAGCCGACCUGAGAGGGUGAUCGGCCACACUGGAACUGAGACACGGUCCAGACUCCUACGGGAGGCAGCAGUAGGGAAUCUUCCGCAAUGGGCGAAAGCCUGACGGAGCAACGCCGCGUGAGUGAUGAAGGUCUUCGGAUCGUAAAACUCUGUUAUUAGGGAAGAACAAAUGUGUAAGUAACUAUGCACGUCUUGACGGUACCUAAUCAGAAAGCCACGGCUAACUGCGUG